Molecule: non-coding RNA, 329 nt
Organism: Lonchura striata (white-rumped munia)
Lineage: Eukaryota; Metazoa; Chordata; Aves; Passeriformes; Estrildidae
Source: RefSeq, a predicted model, not a curated record
UUACAAUUCAGCACAGUGGAAUGAAGUGAGUCCAUGUCAAGAACACUCUCUCUGGCCAGAAAAAGCAGAAUGAUGGACUUUCAGAUUGGACGUGACCUCAAGAUCAGCUAAUUCAACUUUUCUUGGCAAAAACAAAAUCGAGUUUUGCUCCUGAGCAUGCACAGUGCACUAGACAAUGCAGCAAGCUCCAAAGAUCAAGUGAAGAAUAAUGAAGCAUGACACACUUAGAGCUUUGAAAUACAAGAACCUUGGAAAUAAUACUGAUGCAUGUAUAAUAAUUACGGAAAAUUAUUAAUAAAAACAAUGCUGAAUACUUGACAAUAUACUAA